This 479-nucleotide ribosomal RNA is filed under the name uncultured bacterium. RNAcentral describes it as "bacterial SSU rRNA". It matches the Rfam family "Bacterial small subunit ribosomal RNA", at positions 29 to 517 of the family's 1533-position model. The record is from RNAcentral.
AGUGAACGCUGGCGGCGUGCUUAACACAUGCAAGUCGAACGAGAACGGAUUAUAGCUUGCUAUAAUUGUCAGCUAAGUGGCGCACGGGUGAGUAAUGUAUAGGUAAUAUGCCUCUUACUAAGGGAUAACAAAUGGAAACGUUUGCUAAUACCUUAUACUCCUUAUUAACAGAAGUUAAUAAGGGAAAGAUUUAUUGGUAAGAGAUUAGCCUGUAUUGUAUCAGUUAGUUGGUGGGGUAAUGGCUUACCAAGACUAUGACACAUAACUGGUCUGAGAGGAUGAUCAGGCACACUGGAACUGAGACACGGUCCAGACUCCUACGGGAGGCAGCAGUGGGGAAUAUUGCACAAUGGAGGAAACUCUGAUGCAGCAACGCCGCGUGGAGGAUGACGCAUUUCGGUGUGUAAACUCCUUUUACAUUAGGAAGAUAAUGACGGUACUAUAUGAAUAAGCACCGGCUAACUCCGUGCCAGCAGCCG